This 238-nucleotide ribosomal RNA is filed under the name uncultured bacterium. RNAcentral's name for it is "partial 16S ribosomal RNA". It matches the Rfam family "Bacterial small subunit ribosomal RNA", at positions 96 to 334 of the family's 1533-position model. The record is from RNAcentral.
CGGCGGACGGGUGAGUAACGCGUGGGUGACCUGCCCCAUACCGGGGGAUAACAGCUGGAAACGGCUGCUAAUACCGCAUAAGCGCACAGAGCUGCAUGGCUCGGUGUGAAAAACUCCGGUGGUAUGGGAUGGGCCCGCGUCUGAUUAGGCAGUUGGCGGGGUAACGGCCCACCAAACCGACGAUCAGUAGCCGGCCUGAGAGGGCGACCGGCCACAUUGGGACUGAGACACGGUCCAA